This 57-nucleotide transfer RNA is filed under the name Rattus norvegicus (Norway rat). It matches the Rfam family "tRNA", at positions 8 to 63 of the family's 71-position model. Rfam says of the family: Transfer RNA (tRNA) molecules are approximately 80 nucleotides in length. Their secondary structure includes four short double-helical elements and three loops (D, anti-codon, and T loops). Further hydrogen bonds mediate the characteristic L-shaped molecular structure. tRNAs have two regions of fundamental functional importance: the anti-codon, which is responsible for specific mRNA codon recognition, and the 3' end, to which the tRNAs corresponding amino acid is attached (by aminoacyl-tRNA synthetases). tRNAs cope with the degeneracy of the genetic code in two manners: having more than one tRNA (with a specific anti-codon) for a particular amino acid; and 'wobble' base-pairing, i.e. permitting non-standard base-pairing at the 3rd anti-codon position. The record is from Rfam by way of RNAcentral. Lineage: Eukaryota; Metazoa; Chordata; Mammalia; Rodentia; Muridae.
UAGCUCAGUGGUAGAGCGCUUGCCUAGCACGCGCAAGGCCCUGGGUUCGAUCCCCAG